Molecule: ribosomal RNA, 377 nt
Filed under: uncultured cyanobacterium
Lineage: Bacteria; Bacillati; Cyanobacteriota
Description: bacterial SSU rRNA
Rfam family: Bacterial small subunit ribosomal RNA
Source: RNAcentral
GGCAACCCUGACGGAGCAACGCCGCGUGUGGGAGGACGGCCUUCGGGUUGUAAACCACUUUUCUCUGGGAAGAUGAUGACGGUACCAGAGGAAUCAGCCUCGGCUAACUCCGUGCCAGCAGCCGCGGUAAUACGGAGGAGGCAAGCGUUAUCCGGAAUUAUUGGGCGUAAAGCGUCCGUAGGUGGUUAUUCAAGUCUGCUGUCAAAGCGUGGGGCUUAACUCCAUAGAGGCAGUGGAAACUGGAUGACUUGAGUGCGGUAGGGGUCGAGGGAAUUCCCAGUGUAGCGGUGAAAUGCGUAGAUAUUGGGAAGAACACCAGUGGCGAAAGCGCUCGACUGGGCCUGCACUGACACUGAGGGACGAAAGCUAGGGGAGCG